UUGGUUGCUAGGGAAGGCGUCGCAGGUGGGAUGCAACUACGUUUGAUAGUAAGUUUUAUUUUUAAUGUAUUUAAUUGGUUAAAUUUAUACUUGUGUAAAGGACGAUAUAUUAAGGUUAUUUAUUUGUACUGAUUUAUUUUAAAAGGAAAUACUUAAAUGGUACAAGGAGCACUAGUGAACAAGCAUAGGUUAAUGGUCAUUAACUCUCACAUUGACAAGUUACCUUAAAGAAUACUUAAAAAUUUUGGCUCGAUGAUUUUAUUUAAAUUAAUGAAAUACGAUUAAGUUUUGUCCAGUUCAUAGUGGCGGUGUUCAUAGUGACGGUGUUCAUAGUGACGGUGUUCAUAGUGGCGGUGUUCAUAGUGGCGGUGUUCAUACCCACGUGACUGUCUUGGUCUUGUAUGUUACAGGAUUUACCUUAAAAGUAUUUGUUACUCGUAAGAUUUACGGUAACACUGGAACUUUGGCUGUCCAUAGGUUCCCGCCAUGUUCACCCGAGGUCUUAGUCACUUGGUUAGGGUAGGUAGGUGGGUGGGUUGGAUCCUUUGGUUUGUGUAUUUUUGGCGUUUUACUCAAAUUUGACUUAAUUUUUUGUGCAAAUCGGCAGUUUGUUAAAAAUUAAUGUUCAUUUUUUGCAGAAACCGAUAAUUUGCUAAUGAAAUAAAGGUCAGAUUUGAGUAAAAACUGAAUAAGUAAAAAAAAAAAAAAAAUUCUCUUACCAAAACCUGAGGACAGCCAAUGUACUGAUAUUAGUUAUCUUUUCUUUACAGAUGAUGGAUCCAGUUGUUGUUGUAUUAAAGGCCAGUUUGGUGCAUCAGUGGUCGUCAGCGUGGAUAGUACAGCACCUUAUUUAUUGAGGAUGAUGACCACAAGAGUUCUUCUGGUAACCUGACUCAUGAUGCACCAGAGACACAAGUCAGGUUAGUAGGUUCUGGACCUUGUCAAGGAGAGGUGUGCACUCUGCUGUACCACACCUCUUGCCUCACUUGUACUGCUGUACCAGGCUUCUCUCCUCCAAUAUCAGGAUGGCAAGUGAUUCACAACAUAACUAAAGGAAGCAGGUGAUACAGCCCAGACCCAGCCAUCCACCCCUCCUCUCUACCUCAGAAAUGUUGUUCUGAACACUGGAGUGCCGUGCUGCCCUAGACUGUGCUUACUGGCUACUGCCUUGGACUUCCCUGUACUUGCUUGCUGGCUGCUGCCCUG
Homarus americanus (American lobster) is the source of this 1206-nucleotide long non-coding RNA. RefSeq lists it as uncharacterized. Lineage: Eukaryota; Metazoa; Arthropoda; Malacostraca; Decapoda; Nephropidae. The record is from RefSeq and is a predicted model, not a curated record. The transcript has 4 exons.